GUAGGGUGGCAAGCGUUGUCCGGAAUUAUUGGGCGUAAAGCGCGCGCAGGCGGUCCUUUAAGUCUGAUGUGAAAGCCCACGGCUCAACCGUGGAGGGUCAUUGGAAACUGGGGGACUUGAGUACAGAAGAGGAAAGCGGAAUUCCAAGUGUAGCGGUGAAAUGCGUAGAGAUUUGGGGGAACACCAGUGGCGAAGGCGGCUUUCUGGUCUGUAACUGACGCUGAGGCGCGAAAGCGUGGGGAGCAAACAGGAUUAGAUACCCUGGUAGUCCACGCCGUAAACGAUGAGUGCUAAGUGUUAGGGGGUUUCCGCCCCUUAGUGCUGCAGCUAACGCAUUAAGCACUCCGCCUGGGGAGUACGGCCGCAAGGCUG
Molecule: ribosomal RNA, 372 nt
Filed under: uncultured organism
Description: partial 16S ribosomal RNA
Rfam family: Bacterial small subunit ribosomal RNA
Source: RNAcentral